AGCGGAGAGGGGACCAAACCUGAGAUCACUGAGAGAACAAUUAGCAAACGCAAGCGGAGAGGGGAUUAGAAGGAUGAGUCGCUAAGCAUCGUCGUGGCAGCCUAAGCUUUCCACCGACGUCCGAGUCUCUAGAUUUUGAUGAGGUAGCUUGUCGCAUAGAUGCUCUCACACGACCAUGUUCGGAUCAGAUCUCUUCUUCAGUUUCUAUUGUGAUUAGAAAUAGAGGUGAGUCAAAUUAAUAGUGUGAAGGUUGGGGAGGUGAAGAGAACAUUUUUUUUUACGAAGAGGUGGAGGCGUAGAUCAUCGACAUCAUCGACACUUCCGUCUAGGUUAUCUUUUGUUUGGGGAACGACGAAGCCCAAGCGUAAACAGACGAAGCCCAUAAAAAAACAUAUCCACCUGAGGCCCAAACGUAACUCAAUAGACUGAAGCCAUGUGACGUGUCAAAAUGAAAUGUUAUGAUUGGAGGAAUAUUUUAAGUGACGUGGACAUGCUAGAAUUUCAGCAUAUGAUGCUUUUAGUAUUGUGA
RNAcentral lists this long non-coding RNA (529 nucleotides) under Brassica napus (rape). RNAcentral's name for it is "long non-coding RNA (BNAP_LNC021900)". The record is from RNAcentral. Lineage: Eukaryota; Viridiplantae; Streptophyta; Magnoliopsida; Brassicales; Brassicaceae.